This 495-nucleotide ribosomal RNA is filed under the name uncultured bacterium. RNAcentral's name for it is "partial 16S ribosomal RNA". It matches the Rfam family "Bacterial small subunit ribosomal RNA", at positions 28 to 507 of the family's 1533-position model. The record is from RNAcentral.
GACGAACGCUGGCGGCGUGCCUAAUACAUGCAAGUAGAACGCUGAAGGAGGAGCUUGCUUCUCUGGAUGAGUUGCGAACGGGUGAGUAACGCGUAGGUAACCUGCCUGGUAGCGGGGGAUAACUAUUGGAAACGAUAGCUAAUACCGCAUAAGAGUAGAUGUUGCAUGACAUUUGCUUAAAAGGUGCAAUUGCAUCACUACCAGAUGGACCUGCGUUGUAUUAGCUAGUUGGUGAGGUAACGGCUCACCAAGGCGACGAUACAUAGCCGACCUGAGAGGGUGAUCGGCCACACUGGGACUGAGACACGGCCCAGACUCCUACGGGAGGCAGCAGUAGGGAAUCUUCGGCAAUGGACGGAAGUCUGUCCGAGCAACGCCGCGUGAGUGAAGAAGGUUUUCGGAUCGUAAAGCUCUGUUGUAAGAGAAGAACGAGUGUGAGAGUGGAAAGUUCACACUGUGACGGUAUCUUACCAGAAAGGGACGGCUAACUACGUG